RNAcentral lists this ribosomal RNA (382 nucleotides) under uncultured eukaryote. RNAcentral describes it as "partial 18S ribosomal RNA". It matches the Rfam family "Eukaryotic small subunit ribosomal RNA", at positions 592 to 976 of the family's 1831-position model. The record is from RNAcentral.
UGUAAGCGUAUACCAAAGUUGUUGCAGUUAAAACGCUCGUAGUCGUAGCUUGGCAGUUCCGGAUGUGUGCACGUCGUGUGCGCACUUCGCGGGGAUUGCUUUUGUGGUCUUGCGUAGGAUGAGGCACUUUUAUUAGUGAACGUCCUCACGCAACCACUUUUUACUGUGAGAAAAUCAGAGUGCUCAAAGCAGGCAUUUGCCGUGAAUGUAUUAGCAUGGAAUAAUAGAAUAGGACUUGGUUCUAUUUUGUUGGUUUGUUGGGACUGAGUAAUGAUUAAGAGGGACAGUUGGGGGCAUUUGUAUUUCGGUGCUAGAGGUGAAAUUCUUAGAUUACCGAAAGACAAACUGCUGCGAAAGCGUCUGCCAAGGAUGUUUUCAUUGA